Molecule: long non-coding RNA, 3064 nt
Organism: Triticum dicoccoides
Lineage: Eukaryota; Viridiplantae; Streptophyta; Magnoliopsida; Poales; Poaceae
Exons: 3
Source: RefSeq, a predicted model, not a curated record
UCCCACUCUGCGUGCUGUCAGUCCCCAGUCCCCGCACAAACCCGGUCUCUUUCUCCCAAUCCCCGCCGAGCUUGUUCCUCCGGCCACCGCGCAAGGAGCCCCGUCGGUUAAGCCUGCAAUUAGCAUGGCACUCACGUGACCAUGGAUGGGCUAUGAAGGAGGAGGAGCCAUGAUAUGGAUCUGGCGGCCACUUGAAGCCUCCGCCUGCGGCGUCAUACCGUUGCCGGGGUGCCGCGCAAGAGGUCAGGGUCCGCCGCCACCGCGAACCAGGGGACGCCCAUUGGCAACCCUUCGUGCAGGAAGCCGAUGUGGAGCAUGGCGUCAACAAGUCGCCAGGAGGAGCCCCAUACACCAGCCGAGCGAGCACCGGUUGCGAGGUCGGCCUCGCUUCUCCAUCCCAGCAGGCCGGCCGAGCUGCUCCCCUCCCCCCACACCGUCCUACCGGACCUGCCCUGCUCGUCCACCCCAGCGAGAAGACCCCACCUCCUCAACCGUUGGUCGCGGGUGGAGAAGAGGCUGUGGGGUGAGCAGCUCCUCGGCGUCGGACAGAGACGAUGGAGGUGAACAGCGGCGGCGGCUGACGAGAGAGGAUGGAGGAGAAGGGGAGGGGUGCUGCAUCAUGGAUCCAAGUACACUUUUUUAUCGGAGGGAGUAUAACAUAUUACCUUUGUGCUCUUCGAAUUUUAGUAUACACUUGCGAAACAAACAUGUCAUUAAUAUCAGUGCCUAAGAAUUAUUUGUUUUGGAUUCUAAUUUGUUCAGCAGAGGGCGAUCAAUAUAGAAGAGAUAUAUACACAAAUUUCCCUAGGUGCAGCAUCUUCUACUGUCCAAGCCUCCAAGAUUCAGUUAGAUAGCAUUGUCUUCUCCCUGAGCAGCAAAAUGAAGGUCACCAAUGCUGUGCGGUAGGCUAAAGGACGCCUGCCUCUGUGCCCCUCCCCAAACUACAUGGUCUGCUUCAGCUUGCAUGUUGCCACUUCCUCUAUUCUCAUUGCUUUUCUUUGAUUAGUGUAGUGAUCCACACUGAACGUGUAUGAAAAUGUUUUUGCUGGGGCAUUUUUGCACCAAGCCAAUUGGUCUGCUUUGUUGGAACAAUUGAUUGAUAGUAUCUUCAUUGGAAGUUAUGCCAGGAGCAUGCAUUGGGUGGUAUAUUUUCGCCAUUGUUCGCGCCGCCGAAGCUUGGCUGGGAAAGUUUAUGCCCUUUAUGUAUAUUAAUGUUUAGCUAAAGACAUGGAUCUCUUGAUUUUGUGGAGAUGCAAAGCAGCUCCGUAGGUAGAGGUAUGUAAUUAGUCAGUACAUUUUUAAACUAUUAGUUCAUCUUCUAAAAAAAUAUUAAUGUACAGGUAGUGUAUCUAAAGUUAGGCUCUUUCUACAUUGCACAACCAAGUUUCCAGCCUAAAAAUAUUUUAUCUAAAAUGUUAUUAGUUUCCAAUGUCCUGCUUGAUGUUACAUGGUGUUCAAGAAAGAAUUAUGGGCCAUUUUGUCAUGAAGCAUGAGAAUGAUAAUAUCAACUCAGUUGGGGAUAAGCAAAAAUUAAAUAAAUACUCCCUCCGUAAACUAAUAUAAGAGCGUUUAGAUUACUAAAGUAGUGAUCUAAAUGCUCUUAUAUUAAUUUACAGAGGGAGUACAUGAGAUGUGAUUAAUGAAAUAGGAAAAUGUCCUCUUCUCUCGAUUAUGCAUCUAUGAAAUAAAGAUUAGUGUAGAUGGUCAUUGUACAUCUGAAGGGAAACUUUACUGGUCAUGUUCUUCCCCCUUUUCAGUUCACAUGAUCAGUGCAUCCUCUUUAUACUAUGUAGUGCUAGGCUACAAAUUGGUUUUCCCUUUACUGCUCCAGCUGGAUUAUAUCUCAAACUUCCCUUGUUCCUAUGCUGAGAUUCUCCUAGCCAGUGGCAAAGGUACAUACUGCCUCUUCUUCUUUUUCCUUUGCAUUUUUCUUCGAUUGGAAGGAGUGGAUUACUGCCGCCAAUUUCUUGGAUGAAAUGAAGAGAUGCAAGAUAUGUAUGUUGUCAUGUCAGUUAUUUUGUUUUGCAACAAAAUGGAUAGUUCAUGUAUUCCCCACCGAGCAAGAUUUAUGUCUAAACUUAUGUCUGUGCUACAGAGAUUUUCUUAUUAUGUUUCAAUUCAAGAGACUUGUGUCACAGAGGCGAUGAACAGGUGGUGCUUAUUUUGCAUUUGUUGAUUAGGGAAUUCUGAUGAAGCAAUGUUUUUUUGGAAUAGCUGAUGAGUGCUCACUUCUACUGUUCCCCAAAAGACUAUUAAUGAUUUUUCCAGUGCUGCACAUUGCAUGCUUGCCACAAGCUUAGAAAAUCUUCGUCUUACUUUGCUAAAUGUUCUUUCUUACCAAACUAGCUUCAGGAUGAAUAGCAGGUUUAUUAACCAUUUGAUCUUGUUUGUGCAUAGCAGGUUUGCUGCUAAGUCUAUUUAAGUAUUUUUUUGCAUGAUUAUCCUAUGGAGCCAUGAUGCUGAACCAAUGAAUUUUGAGAAAAUUUAGUAUGUUUAUGGAUCACUACAUGUUCUGUUGGAACAAGAAUGCCCAAGAGACGCGAUGUGGGCACAGAAAUUGCAGCUGCUCUCAAAGCACAUGCAAGAUGUUACAAUAUUAUUCCCUAUCUUGAUUUGUAUAUGGCACCCAUGAAAUUUGAGAUCUUUUCUAAUGUUUGACCAAUAGAUAAUCAAACAAUAUAAAGUUUUGGUGAAAUAUGACCCACAUCAAAUUGGAAAUGAGAGGAUGUGAUUUGGUGCUAAUUUUCCACUUUCAGUUGAUGGCCUUUGUUGUGGUUGCACCAUGGUCUAUGGGGAACAGGAAUGAACACCUCUGCUACAACCGAAUAUGUAGAGUUCAACUAAGCCAUAAUGAGUGUGGAGGUUUAUUUUAUCUAUGUUUGUACCCAUGCAAAUCUUGAAUUGUUUACUUUGAUGGUCUAUCGAUUGUCAGAAUAUAGUAUGUUGUGUUCAACAUGCUCACAAAAUUGUAUAGAAGCUUUAGUGUUCAACAUUAUUGACUGUCUAUGUCAAAUUCAGAUUAACUCUAUGGACUAGCUCAUUCAAGUAUUACAGUUUUUUUUUC